GAUGAAGAACGCAGCGAAAUGCGAUAAGUAAUGUGAAUUGCAGAAUCCAGUGAAUCAUCGAAUCUUUGAACGCACAUUGCGCCCGCCAGCAUUCUGGCGGGCAUGCCUGUUCGAGCGUCAUUUCAACCCUCGACCUCCCUUUGGGGAAGUUGGCGUUGGGGACCGGCAGCACACCGCCGGCCCUGAAAUGGAGUGGCGGCCCGUCCGCGGCGACCUCUGCGUAGUAAACCAACUCGCACCGGAACCCCGACGUGGCCACGCCGUAAAACACCCAACUUCUGAACGUUGACCUCGAAUCAGGUAGGACUACCCGCUGAACUUAAGCAUAUCAAUAAGCGGAGGA
This 343-nucleotide unclassified non-coding RNA is filed under the name soil metagenome. RNAcentral describes it as "partial contains 5.8S ribosomal RNA, internal transcribed spacer 2, and large subunit ribosomal RNA". The stretch from base 1 to 120 matches the Rfam family "5.8S ribosomal RNA", at positions 35 to 154 of the family's 154-position model. The record is from RNAcentral.